UAAUACGUAGGGUGCGAGCGUUAAUCGGAAUUACUGGGCGUAAAGGGUGCGCAGGCGGUUUUGUAAGUCAGAUGUGAAAUCCCCGGGCUUAACCUGGGAAUUGCGUUUGAAACUACAAGACUAGAGUGUGGCAGAGGGAGGUGGAAUUCCAUGUGUAGCAGUGAAAUGCGUAGAGAUAUGGAAGAACAUCGAUGGCGAAGGCAGCCUCCUGGGUUAACACUGACGCUCAUGCACGAAAGCGUGGGGAGCAAACAGG
Molecule: ribosomal RNA, 256 nt
Filed under: uncultured archaeon
Lineage: Archaea
Description: partial 16S ribosomal RNA
Rfam family: Bacterial small subunit ribosomal RNA
Source: RNAcentral